AGGUGGAACCCCCCCAUGCAGACUGCACAUACUCCAGCACUUAACAAUCUUGGCCAACUCAGAGGACACCCCAACCCCUAGAGGCAUACCUGUUCCCUGUCCGCUCUACCAUCUUAAACAGCUCGCCACACUGCACCGAUCCUAUACUGUGUGAGGCCAAGACAGAUAACCAAGUAGGGUGGGCGGAAAUGGAUGGCCAUAGCUACUAUCUGUAGCGGGUCUGAGAGGAUGAUCCGCCACACUGGGACUGAGACACGGCCCAGACUCCUACGGGAGGCAGCAGUGGGGAAUAUUGGACAAUGGGCGAAAGCCUGAUCCAGCCAUGCCGCGUGUGUGAAGAAGGCCUUUUGGUUGUAAAGCACUUUAAGCGAGGAGGAGGCUACUGAGAUUAAUACUCUUGGAUAGUGGACGUUACUCGCAGAAUAAGCACCGGCUAACUCUGUGCCAGCAGCCGCGGUAAUACAGAGGGUGCGAGCGUUAAUCGGAUUUACUGGGCGUAA
Molecule: ribosomal RNA, 500 nt
Filed under: uncultured bacterium
Lineage: Bacteria
Description: bacterial SSU rRNA
Rfam family: Bacterial small subunit ribosomal RNA
Source: RNAcentral